RNAcentral lists this ribosomal RNA (376 nucleotides) under uncultured bacterium. RNAcentral's name for it is "bacterial SSU rRNA". It matches the Rfam family "Bacterial small subunit ribosomal RNA", at positions 524 to 898 of the family's 1533-position model. The record is from RNAcentral.
UACGUAGGGUGCGAGCGUUAAUCGGAAUUACUGGGCGUAAAGCGUGCGCAGGCGGUUUUUUAAGAUAGGCGUGAAAUCCCCGGGCUUAACCUGGGAACUGCGCUUAUGACUGGAAGACUAGAGUACGGCAGAGGGGGGUGGAAUUCCACGUGUAGCAGUGAAAUGCGUAGAGAUGUGGAGGAACACCAAUGGCGAAGGCAGCCCCCUGGGCCGAUACUGACGCUCAUGCACGAAAGCGUGGGGAGCAAACAGGAUUAGAUACCCUGGUAGUCCACGCCCUAAACGAUGUCAACUAGGUGUUGGGUGGGUAAAACCAUUUAGUACCGUAGCUAACGCGUGAAGUUGACCGCCUGGGGAGUACGGCCGCAAGGUUAAA